UCAUCUCUGGUGUAAGGGGAGUCACGCUUGGUUGUUACCCAAGAGGUCAAGGUUCGAGUCCUUGGAGAUGAGCCA
RNAcentral lists this transfer RNA (75 nucleotides) under Candidatus Saccharimonadota bacterium. Its description in RNAcentral is "tRNA-Asn". It matches the Rfam family "tRNA". From Rfam's summary of the family: Transfer RNA (tRNA) molecules are approximately 80 nucleotides in length. Their secondary structure includes four short double-helical elements and three loops (D, anti-codon, and T loops). The record is from RNAcentral. Lineage: Bacteria; Candidatus Saccharimonadota.